GAACGCAUAUUGCGCUCUUUGGUAUUCCGAAGAGCAUGCUUGUUUGAGUAUCAGUAAACACCUCAAAGACUUCAAUUUGUUUUGAAUGGCUUUGGACUUGAGCACUCCCAACACCAGUCUUUACGAUCGGUGGAGGGUUGCUUGAAAUGCAGGUGCAGCUGGACAUUCUCCUGAGCUAAAAGCAUAUUUAUUUAGUCCCGUCAAACGGAUUAUUACUUUUGCUGCAGCUAACAUAAAGGGAGUUUGACCGUAUUGGCUGACUGAUGCAGGAUUUCACAAGGGUCGGCAACGAUUCUUGUAAAACUCGAUCUCAAAUCAAGUAAGACUACCCGCUGAACUUAAG
This 343-nucleotide unclassified non-coding RNA is filed under the name Linnemannia exigua. RNAcentral describes it as "sequence contains 5.8S rRNA gene". The stretch from base 1 to 53 matches the Rfam family "5.8S ribosomal RNA", at positions 102 to 154 of the family's 154-position model. Lineage: Eukaryota; Fungi; Mortierellomycota; Mortierellomycetes; Mortierellales; Mortierellaceae. The record is from RNAcentral.